GAUGAACGCUGGCGGCGUGCCUAAUACAUGCAAGUCGAGCGAACAGACGAGGAGCUUGCUCCUCUGACGUUAGCGGCGGACGGGUGAGUAACACGUGGAUAACCUACCUAUAAGACUGGGAUAACUUCGGGAAACCGGCGCUAAUACCGGAUAAUAUAUUGAACCGCAUGGUUCAAUAGUGAAAGACGGUUUUGCUGUCACUUAUAGAUGGAUCCGCGCCGCAUUAGCUAGUUGGUAAGGUAACGGCUUACCAAGGCAACGAUGCGUAGCCGACCGGAGAGGGUGAUAGGCCACACGGGAACUGAGACACGGUCCAGACGCCUACGGGAGGCAGCAGUAGGGAAUCUUCCGCAAUGGGCGAAAGCCUGACGGAGCAACGCCGCGUGAGUGAUGAAGGUCUUCGGAUCGUAAAACUCUGUUAUGAGGGAAGAACAAAUGUGUAAGUAACUAUGCACGGCUUGACGGUACCUAAUCAGAAAGCCACGGCUAACUACGUG
This 497-nucleotide ribosomal RNA is filed under the name uncultured bacterium. RNAcentral's name for it is "partial 16S ribosomal RNA". It matches the Rfam family "Bacterial small subunit ribosomal RNA", at positions 28 to 507 of the family's 1533-position model. The record is from RNAcentral.